GAAACGGGAACCCGGCACCGCGCAAGCGGAUCAGACCGGGGGUGCCUCACCGAGAGGCGAGGCGGCA
This 67-nucleotide small RNA is filed under the name Frankia sp. Hr75.2. RNAcentral describes it as "Transposase-2". It matches the Rfam family "Transposase-2 RNA". The record is from RNAcentral. Lineage: Bacteria; Bacillati; Actinomycetota; Actinomycetes; Frankiales; Frankiaceae.